GGGUGGUUGGCAUAGCGGCUGUGCAGCGAGCUUUUAAUCGGCAACAGAAAGGUUCGAUUCCUUUACCACCCA
RNAcentral lists this transfer RNA (72 nucleotides) under Fortiea sp. LEGE XX443. Its description in RNAcentral is "tRNA-OTHER". It matches the Rfam family "tRNA". Rfam says of the family: Transfer RNA (tRNA) molecules are approximately 80 nucleotides in length. Lineage: Bacteria; Bacillati; Cyanobacteriota; Cyanophyceae; Nostocales; Fortieaceae. The record is from RNAcentral.